RNAcentral lists this ribosomal RNA (384 nucleotides) under uncultured bacterium. Its description in RNAcentral is "bacterial SSU rRNA". It matches the Rfam family "Bacterial small subunit ribosomal RNA", at positions 996 to 1382 of the family's 1533-position model. The record is from RNAcentral.
GCAUCCAGAGAUGGAUGUGUCUCUUCGGAGACGGUAUGACAGGUGCUGCAUGGCUGUCGUCAGCUCGUGCCGUGAGGUGUUGGGUUAAGUCCCGCAACGAGCGCAACCCCCUAUCUUUAGUUGCCAUCAGUUCGGCUGGGCACUCUAUGGAGACUGCCACCUAAAGUGGAGGAAGUGGGGAUGACGUCAAGUCAGCAUGGCCCUUACUCCGGGGCUACACACGUGCUACAAUGGCCGGUACAAAGGGUUGCGAAGCCGUGAGGUGGAGCGAAUCUCAAAAAGCCGGCCUCAGUUCGGAUUGGAGGCUGCAACUCGCCUCCAUGAAGUCGGAAUCGCUAGUAACCGCAGAUCAGCUACGUUGCGGUGAAUACGUUCCCGGGCCUU